UAUGGUCACAUCACAUUGAAACAUCAAUUCCCAUAAGAUCACAAAAGCUAAGCAACAUUGAGCCUGAUUAGUACCUAGAUGGGUGACCACUUGGGAAUACUAGGUACUGUAAG
Molecule: non-coding RNA, 113 nt
Organism: Acanthosepion pharaonis
Lineage: Eukaryota; Metazoa; Mollusca; Cephalopoda; Sepiida; Sepiidae
Source: the annotation of a GenBank genome assembly